This 464-nucleotide ribosomal RNA is filed under the name uncultured bacterium. Its description in RNAcentral is "partial 16S ribosomal RNA". It matches the Rfam family "Bacterial small subunit ribosomal RNA", at positions 28 to 507 of the family's 1533-position model. The record is from RNAcentral.
GACGAACGCUGGCGGCGUGCUUAACACAUGCAAGUCGAACGGUAAGGCCCCAGCUUGCUGGGGUACACGAGUGGCGAACGGGUGAGUAACACGUGGGUGACCUGCCCCGCACUUCGGGAUAAGCCUGGGAAACUGGGUCUAAUACCGGAUAGGACCGCACCGUGAGGGUGUGGUGGAAAGUUUUUCGGUGUGGGAUGUGCCCGCGGCCUAUCAGCUUGUUGGUGGGGUAAUGGCCUACCAAGGCGGCGACGGGUAGCCGGCCUGAGAGGGUGGACGGCCACAUUGGGACUGAGACACGGCCCAGACUCCUACGGGAGGCAGCAGUGGGGAAUAUUGCACAAUGGGCGGAAGCCUGAUGCAGCGACGCCGCGUGGGGGAUGACGGCCUUCGGGUUGUAAACUCCUUUCACCAUCGACGAAGGUUUUCUGACGGUAGAUGGAGAAGAAGCACCGGCUAACUACGUG